Molecule: ribosomal RNA, 400 nt
Filed under: uncultured bacterium
Lineage: Bacteria
Description: bacterial SSU rRNA
Rfam family: Bacterial small subunit ribosomal RNA
Source: RNAcentral
UGGGGAAUAUUGGACAAUGGGCGCAAGCCUGAUCCAGCAAUACCGCGUGAAUGAUGAAGGUCUUCGGAUUGUAAAGUUCUUUUAGUGGAGAAGAUAAUGACGGUAUCCACAGAAAAAGCACCGGCUAACUUCGUGCCAGCAGCCGCGGUAAUACGAAGGGUGCUAGCGUUGUUCGGAAUCAUUGGGCGUAAAGCGUAUGUAGGCUGUUUGGUAAGUCAGCUGUGAAAUCCCCAGGCUUAACUUGGGAAUUGCAGUUGAAACUGCCUUGCUAGAAUCUGGUGGGGGAUAGUGGAAUUCUUAGUGUAGGGGUGAAAUCCGUAGAUAUUAAGAGGAACACCGGCGGCGAAAGCGACUAUCUACACCAGCAUUGACGCUGAGAUACGAAAGCGUGGGGAGCAAA